UCCUCCUCCUUGGGUUUGGCUUGCACUUUCUUCUCAGGUCUUUCUCCUCUGAGGCAGAAGAAGCCCCUGGGCAUUAU
This 77-nucleotide long non-coding RNA is filed under the name Canis lupus familiaris (dog). Its description in RNAcentral is "lncRNA (ENSCAFG00040024966.1)". Lineage: Eukaryota; Metazoa; Chordata; Mammalia; Carnivora; Canidae. The record is from RNAcentral.